ACAGUGGACGCGAGCAUCUGUGGCCAAGUUUUUAAGGGCGCACGGUGGAUGCCUUGGCACCAGGAACCGAUGAAGGACGUGGGAGGCCACGAUAGUCCCCGGGGAGCCGUCAACCAGGCUUUGAUCCGGGGGUUUCCGAAUGGGGAAACCCGGCAGUCGUCAUGGGCUGUCACCCGCUGCUGAACACAUAGGCAGUGUGGAGGGAACGCGGGGAAGUGAAACAUCUCAGUACCCGCAGGAAGAGAAAACAACCGUGAUUCCGGGAGUAGUGGCGAGCGAAACCGGAUGAGGCCAAACCGUAUACGUGUGAGACCCGGCAGGGGUUGCGUGUGCGGGGUUGUGGGAUCUCUCUUUCACAGUCUGCCGGCUGUGAGGCGAGUCAGAAACCGUUGAUGUAGGCGAAGGACAUGCGAAAGGUCCGGCGUAGAGGGUAAGACCCCCGUAGUCGAAACAUCAGCGGCUCGUUUGAGAGACACCCAAGUAGCACGGGGCCCGAGAAAUCCCGUGUGAAUCUGGCGGGACCACCCGCUAAGCCUAAAUAUUCCCUGGUGACCGAUAGCGGAUAGUACCGUGAGGGAAUGGUGAAAAGUACCGCGGGAGCGGAGUGAAAUAGUACCUGAAACCGUGUGCCUACAAGCCGUGGGAGCGUCGGACAUCAAGCUUGCUUGGUGUCUCGUGACUGCGUGCCUUUUGAAGAAUGAGCCUGCGAGUUUGCGGUGUGUUGCGAGGUUAACCCGAGUGGGGAAGCCGUAGCGAAAGCGAGUCCGAAUAGGGCGUUUCAGUAGCACGCUCAAGACCCGAAGCGGAGUGAUCUAGCCAUGGGCAGGUUGAAGCGGAGGUAAGACUUCGUGGAGGACCGAACCCACCAGGGUUGAAAACCUGGGGGAUGACCUGUGGUUAGGGGUGAAAGGCCAAUCAAACUCCGUGAUAGCUGGUUCUCCCCGAAAUGCAUUUAGGUGCAGCGUCGUGUGUUUCUUGCCGGAGGUAGAGCACUGGAUAGGCGAUGGGCCCUACCGGGUUACUGACCUUAGCCAAACUCCGAAUGCCGGUAAGUGAGAGCGCGGCAGUGAGACUGUGGGGGAUAAGCUCCAUGGUCGAGAGGGAAACAGCCCAGAGCAUCGACUAAGGCCCCUAAGCGUACGCUAAGUGGGAAAGGAUGUGGAGUCGCACAGACAACCAGGAGGUUGGCUUAGAAGCAGCCACCCUUGAAAGAGUGCGUAAUAGCUCACUGGUCUAGUGAUUCCGCGCCGACAAUGUAGCGGGGCUCAAGCGUACCGCCGAAGUCGUGUCAUUCAUACAAUAGGGCCAACGCCUGUAUGGAUGGGUAGGGGAGCGUCGUGUGCCGGGUGAAGCAGCCGCGGAAGCGAGUUGUGGACGGUUCACGAGUGAGAAUGCAGGCAUGAGUAGCGAUACAAACGUGAGAAACGUUUGCGCCGAUUGACUAAGGGUUCCUGGGUCAAGCUGAUCUGCCCAGGGUAAGUCGGGACCUAAGGCGAGGCCGACAGGCGUAGUCGAUGGAUAACCGGUUGAUAUUCCGGUACCCGCUGUGAAGCGUCAAACAUCGAGCAUCGUGAUGCUAAGGCCGUGAAGCCGCCCUGAUCUCUUCGGAGUUGAGGGGAGUGGUGGAGCCGCCGGACCAAGCGGUUAGUAGGUGAGUGAUGGGGUGACGCAGGAAGGUAGUCCAUCCCGGGCGGUGGUUGUCCCGGGGUAAGGGUGUAGGCCGUGCGGUAGGUAAAUCCGUCGCACACAAGGCUGAGACCUGAUGCCGAGCCGAUUGUGGUGAAGUGGAUGAUCCUAUGCUGUCGAGAAAAGCCUCUAGCGAGUUUCAUGGCGGCCCGUACCCUAAACCGACUCAGGUGGUCAGGUAGAGAAUACCGAGGCGUUCGGGUGAACUAUGGUUAAGGAACUCGGCAAAAUGCCCCCGUAACUUCGGGAGAAGGGGGGCCACACCUGGUGAUGAUCUUUACGGUCUGAGCUGGGGGUGGCCGCAGAGACCAGCGAGAAGCGACUGUUUACUAAAAACACAGGUCCGUGCGAAGCCGUAAGGCGAUGUAUACGGACUGACGCCUGCCCGGUGCUGGAACGUUAAGGGGACCGGUUAGCUCCAUUUCGGUGGGGCGAAGCUGAGAACUUAAGCGCCAGUAAACGGCGGUGGUAACUAUAACCAUCCUAAGGUAGCGAAAUUCCUUGUCGGGUAAGUUCCGACCUGCACGAAUGGCGUAACGACUUCUCGACUGUCUCAACCAUAGGCCCGGUGAAAUUGCACUACGAGUAAAGAUGCUCGUUUCGCGCAGCAGGACGGAAAGACCCCGGGACCUUUACUACAGUUUGAUAUUGGUGUUCGGUUCGGCUUGUGUAGGAUAGCUGGGAGACUUUGAAGCUCGCACGCCAGUGUGGGUGGAGUCGUCGUUGAAAUACCAGUCUGGUCGUGCUGGAUGUCUAACCUGGGUCCGUGAUCCGGAUCAGGGACAGUGUCUGAUGGGUAGUUUAACUGGGGCGGUUGCCUCCUAAAGAGUAACGGAGGCGCCCAAAGGUUCCCUCAGCCUGGUUGGCAAUCAGGUGUUGAGUGUAAGUGCACAAGGGAGCUUGACUGUGAGACCGACGGGUCGAGCAGGGACGAAAGUCGGGACUAGUGAUCCGGCGGUGGCUUGUGGAAGCGCCGUCGCUCAACGGAUAAAAGGUACCCCGGGGAUAACAGGCUGAUCUUCCCCAAGAGUCCAUAUCGACGGGAUGGUUUGGCACCUCGAUGUCGGCUCGUCGCAUCCUGGGGCUGGAGUCGGUCCCAAGGGUUGGGCUGUUCGCCCAUUAAAGCGGUACGCGAGCUGGGUUUAGAACGUCGUGAGACAGUUCGGUCCCUAUCCGCUGUGCGCGUAGGAGUCUUGAGAAGGGCUGUCCCUAGUACGAGAGGACCGGGACGGACGAACCUCUGGUGUGCCAGUUGUCCUGCCAAGGGCAUGGCUGGUUGGCUACGUUCGGGAGGGAUAACCGCUGAAAGCAUCUAAGCGGGAAGCCUGCUUCGAGAUGAGGACUCCCACCCCCUUGAGGGGUUAAGGCUCCCAGUAGACGACUGGGUUGAUAGGCCGGAUCUGGAAGCACCGCAAGGUGUGGAGGUGACCGGUACUAAUAGGCCGAGGGCUUGUCCUCAGUUG
This 3149-nucleotide ribosomal RNA is filed under the name Streptomyces ambofaciens. RNAcentral describes it as "bacterial LSU rRNA". It matches the Rfam family "Bacterial large subunit ribosomal RNA". The record is from RNAcentral. Lineage: Bacteria; Bacillati; Actinomycetota; Actinomycetes; Kitasatosporales; Streptomycetaceae.